Molecule: transfer RNA, 71 nt
Filed under: Cinclosoma castanotum (chestnut quail-thrush)
Lineage: Eukaryota; Metazoa; Chordata; Aves; Passeriformes; Cinclosomatidae
Also listed under: 1 other name
Description: tRNA-Leu
Rfam family: tRNA
About the family: Transfer RNA (tRNA) molecules are approximately 80 nucleotides in length.
Source: RNAcentral
ACUUCCAAAGGAUAAUAGAAAUCCAGUGGUCUUAGGAACCACCCAUCUUGGUGCAAAUCCAAGUGGAAGUA